Triticum aestivum (bread wheat) is the source of this 129-nucleotide non-coding RNA. Lineage: Eukaryota; Viridiplantae; Streptophyta; Magnoliopsida; Poales; Poaceae. The record is from Rfam.
CUUGUACUCCCUCCGUCCGGAAAUUCUUGUCAUCAAAAUGGAUAAAAGGGGAUGCAUCUAGAAAUAUUUUAAUUCUAGAUACAUCUAUCCAUUUUGAUGACAAGUAUUUUCAGACGGAGGGAGUAGAUC